Molecule: ribosomal RNA, 402 nt
Filed under: uncultured bacterium
Lineage: Bacteria
Description: bacterial SSU rRNA
Rfam family: Bacterial small subunit ribosomal RNA
Source: RNAcentral
UGGGGAAUCUUGCACAAUGGGGGCAACCCUGAUGCAGCGACGCCGCGUGAGCGAUGAAGCCCUUCGGGGCGUAAAGCUCUUUCGACCGGAACGAUAAUGACGGUACCGGGAGAAGAAGCUGCGGCUAACUACGUGCCAGCAGCCGCGGUAAUACGUAGGCAGCAAGCGUUGUUCGGAGUUACUGGGCGUAAAGAGUGCGUAGGCGGUUUUCUAAGUUCGGUGUGAAAUCUCCCGGCUUAACUGGGAGGGUGCGCCGAAGACUGGGAAGCUGGAGUGUGGGAAAGGCAGGCGGAAUUCCUGGUGUAGCGGUGAAAUGCGUAGAUAUCAAGAGGAACACCGGCGGUGUAGACGGCUUGCUAGACCAUAACUGACGCGGAGGCACGAAAGCGUGGGUAGCAAACA